Heterocephalus glaber (naked mole-rat) is the source of this 1638-nucleotide long non-coding RNA. NCBI's taxonomy places the organism in Eukaryota, Metazoa, Chordata, Mammalia, Rodentia, Bathyergidae. The record is from Ensembl.
GCGAGAGAAUUCUAAGAGCACCUUCUGCAAGGACCUGUCCUUGUCAGCGGCAGCAGAGAGGCAGGAGUGCUGUGGAGCUGGCUUCUGCUUCUCUCCUGUCUCCAGAGGAGGCUCUCCCUCUGGGGCUGGCUCCGGCUGCAGAGCAGGCCCAUGGUGUUCUGGUCGUGGAGCCGGAGCUAGGAGGAGGAAAGCUCAGCAGUGUCAGUCCCUCGCCAGUUCCCUGCGGAGCCUAGAAAAGACAUCCUGGCCAUUUGGGGGAUUCCAAUGCCCAACCAAAAGCCAUGAAAGCCUUCCGGACUGCUGUGGCCCUCACCAUCUGUGUCGGCCUCGUGGGGCUCUAGAUAUUCCACCUGAGCAAGGGGACGGCACAAGGGAGGCUCCAUGUCUGCUCCAGAACAAACGUGAAGAAUGUCAUUUGAAAUGAUGGAAAUGAGAGCCUUCUCAUCUUGGGAAAUCAUCUGUGAGCUGCUACGGCCCGAGGGAAGCCUGGAAUAGAUAAGAGAAGUUGAAAAGGAUGCAUAUGCUGCUGUUGGGAUGGGAGAGCCCAAUGCCUGUUGUGCCUACGAGGAAGAAAAGGAGCAAGCUAAAGUGGGCUGACUAAGGCUGAAGAACCUCUGCUAGGACCCUUGCCAUGGCUGAAGAGAAAGGCUGAGGCAACGGAUGGACACGGGUAUGAAUGGCCAAAGACUUUUGCCAUGGAGACGACCGGGUCCUGAGCAGACAGCAAGCAAUAUUGUCAGUGUCUUGAGAUCAGCAAAGCAGCAGAGGUCUUGGGGCAGAAGGACUGCAGCUUGCAGACUAAGACAGCCCUACGCACCAGUGAGGUCACAAUGGGCCGCCCUUGCUAGCUGGGGAAGAAAUCCCACGAGGACAGGACGUGACUGGGCGCUGUGUGGUGGCUGAGCAGCAGGGGAGUCAGGCCCUCCCAGAGACCGAUCGAGCCUUCCUAGAGCUCGUGGAAGGCUCAGGACCCCACGGGUCUUGCCAGGUCAGGAGCUCUAGUGUGGCUCAGGUGGGCCCACACCCUCAGGCCGAGGUGGGCACAGGUGCGGCCGGGAAGCUGCCGGGGCCUUGUGGAGAGCGUCGGACACAGGCAGAGCCACUCCUGCACCCACACAACGUACUGUUUUUGACCACACACCUGGGGCAGGGGCCUAGACCCGUCCAGGACUCACCGGGGGCUGCCCCACCGCGUCUCCAGAACCUCCCCAAGAGCCAAGGUUGGACCUGCCCCCGAGAGGUGUCACUCACGUGCCGUGCAGGUGUCAAGGGCAGGACCUCGAGGGGAGUGACUUGGUCACCGAGACACGCUUACGGGGCGCACACAAGUUAACCGAGGAGAGGUUUAUCUCGGCUCGCACUUGGGAGAGGUUUCAGUCCCUAGUCAGCAGCUCAAAGGCAGCGCGGCAUGGCGGAGGGGCCUGGCAGACAGAAAGCAGAGUCCAGGGAGCAGAGGCAGCGAGAUGAAGGCUCCCAGGCCCUGAACCAGGCGAUUUCUCUCAGCCCAGAUCCCACCUCCUGUCAACCCAGGUGUACCACGCCCAUGAGGCAAUCACCUCCCAGAGGCGGCUUGUGAGUGCGUGAGGCUGUGCGGACAGAGCAGGCGGGGCGUGCAGUGACACCGAGCGGCCACCGGAG